GCUGAUGAGAGACAGGAGCGAUGGAUGGUCUGAGUUAGCGGGGUCCCGGCACCACCCAGCGCAAAGGCACUGCACUCACGCACGCCAUGCACAUGCUGGCUCACCUCCUCCAUCCCAUGCCUCCCCUGUCUCCAGCAUUCCCUCUGGAAUACAUCAGCACUGUUGCCUUUGAGGCUGGCCUGCUUGAAUGCACACCUGAGCUCCGGAUUCACAGUGGAGGAAGCCAGAUGCCAUGUCAUGAGGGUGCUCAAGCAACUUUUUGGAGAUGUAUGUAUGGAGAGAAACUGAGGCCUCCUGCCAACAGCCAGCACUAACUUGGCAAGCAUGUUUGAGAGCCACCUGGGAAGUGGAGCCUUCAGCCCCAGUUAAGCCUUCAGAUGAGACUGCAGUCCUGGCCACCAUCUGGACUGCAACUUCACAAGAGCUCCUAAGCCAGAGCCAUGCAGAUGGAUUCUUGGCCCCCAGAAAUUGUGCCACUACAUUUUGGGAAAUUUAUUAUGCAGCCAUAGAUUACCAAUACACUCACUAUUUCUUUUUUCUGAUGCCAUACUA
This 552-nucleotide long non-coding RNA is filed under the name Homo sapiens (human). RNAcentral's name for it is "non-protein coding LINC01638:21". The record is from RNAcentral. Lineage: Eukaryota; Metazoa; Chordata; Mammalia; Primates; Hominidae.